GGGGCCGUAGCUCAGUUGGGAGAGCGCCUGCAUGGCAUGCAGGAGGUCGUCGGUUCGAGCCCGAUCGGCUCCA
This 73-nucleotide transfer RNA is filed under the name Planctomycetota bacterium. RNAcentral describes it as "tRNA-Ala". It matches the Rfam family "tRNA". Rfam says of the family: Transfer RNA (tRNA) molecules are approximately 80 nucleotides in length. Their secondary structure includes four short double-helical elements and three loops (D, anti-codon, and T loops). Lineage: Bacteria; Pseudomonadati; Planctomycetota. RNAcentral also lists the same sequence under 2 other names. The record is from RNAcentral.